Molecule: unclassified non-coding RNA, 357 nt
Filed under: Peteniodendron pallens
Lineage: Eukaryota; Viridiplantae; Streptophyta; Magnoliopsida; Ericales; Sapotaceae
Description: Pouteria pallens partial contains external transcribed spacer and 18S ribosomal RNA
Source: RNAcentral
UCCUGCGUAGGUUGCCUAAAGUGACAGAAAUUGACCACAAAUAAAUUUUAAUUUUUGCCUCUCACCAAUUCGUGGUGUUAGGUUGACGUGAAAGUACUGCCCAUUCUCCUUGAUUGCUUCGCCAUUUUGUGUUGCAAUCGUGGCCCAUGGGUUGCUACUAGUUCUCUCGGAUGCAGAACUUUUAAAGGGUGCACAACAUGUUGCUGUUGUUUACUCACAAAGCGUUCAUGGCUUGAUGCGUACGACAGCUGUGCUCGCCGUGGUCCCGUCUUUAACUAGUUUGGGACGGGCCUCAUGCGGUGCCGGCGUCGCGAAGAAAUGCUACCUGGUUGAUCCUAUCAGUAGUCAUAUGCUCAA